Molecule: long non-coding RNA, 1922 nt
Organism: Oreochromis aureus
Lineage: Eukaryota; Metazoa; Chordata; Actinopteri; Cichliformes; Cichlidae
Source: Ensembl
AAUACACUUACGUAAAUCUAACUUAACAGUAUUGAGUUCAAACUAAGUAACAACAUUUCUUAAAAGUUACUUAAAGCAGUUGUGUGGAACCACUUGACAUAACUUUUUUAAGUAAAUCUAAUGUUUUAUUUUUUUGAGUGCAGCAGAGUCAACUUUAAAAAUAAACAUGUGGUUCCUCUUUGUUCCACCGUACAGUCAGAUCAGCCCAGAGAACAGGAAUGUUCUCAUUAUGCUGCUGUCAGAUUCAGCUCUGCCGGAGCAUCUGGUGUCACUCCAGCAGACACAGACUUACAGACUUACUCUUCUGUGAAACUUUGAGAGAGAUACUGUGUAUUGGAUAUGUGUGCCACAUAUCCAGUGGUGGCUGAUGAUGAAACAAGUCCUCAGCAAGGAACAAGUGCCUGUUAAUGAAUGCAGCACAUAAACCUACAUAACUGAAUGCAGCAGGGUGUUACGUGUGUGUUUAUCAGUUCGCCAUCUUAACUAUCUCUAGACGUCAUUUUCCUUCUCUCUUUUUUGACACCACCCUCUACUGGUGCAGUUUGGUAUCUAACAUUACAGGACACAGCACAGUUGUUGACAGCUGUUACAAUGAAUGAUUUAUUGUGGGAUGCCCUUAUUUUAUAACCCUAAAAAAAUAUUUCCUAUGUAUGAAAUACAAAGGGAAUACAGUGACUCAGUAUCUUGAACUGAGUUUGAGCAGUUUCAUCAUAACAAUGACUGCUGUAGAUGUCUGAAUGCACUGAUCUGAUUGUCUGAUUAAAUAUUAAAUACCUAAUAAAUUGGCUGGUGAGUGUUCCAGUGCUGUUGUGAUGUAUUAUACAGUAGUUCGUGCUACGUUCUCAUUUUGUAUGUUUUUGGAUCGUCUGUUUUCUGAUGAGUGUAGCUUCACAUGUGUCACAGUCCUGGGUCAGUCACCCAGUGUUUUGACUUUUGUAAUAUUAUUGAUCUUUGUUUUCAUCAUGGUUUUGACUGCUAGUGUUUUGGUUUCUGUUUUGUACUUUGAGCUCUCCAGUUUUUCUUGCUUUACGAUUCCUAGUUCUUGGGUUUUGGUUCCUGUGCUCCUCAUGUCACCCUCGGUCCUGUACUCCGUGUCCCCUCUGUGUAGCAUCAAGUCCUUGCCCCUGUGCUGGUUGUAUUUCCUGUUUUAUUUUGAAGGUCCAUGUGUCAUGUGAAUGUAUUUUGUUUUGCUUCCCCCCUCUCUCGUCAUGUUGAAUUAGGUUCAGCUGUGUCUCACUCCUGUGUGCCAUUUCCUUAUUUCCUUAUUUAGUGUGUGUUAUCUGUUGCUCUUCGUUGGUCUGUCUGCCUACCAUUUAACUGUGUUACUGCUGCUCUCAGUCCCCCCACGGUUCCAGGUUUGGCUAGUUCUGGUUUCAGAUUCAGACCACUACGGCUGAAGCUGGAGAGUCUUCUUCAUCACAGAAGUUUGUUUCCAUCAUAAAUGCAGAAAACAGUUUUAUCACCAACGCCUCCACAAUUUAACACAACUGCACGCAGCUCAAAGAGCCACAACACAGAGCAGAUGAAAUGAAAAUAAAAUGUUGCACACAUUAAAGUGAGAAAUGAGAGAACAGCUACAGGUUGUAUUUCCAUGUAAACAUGUUACACACUGAAUGAACAAAAAAAUGCAUCUAGGUCCUUUAGCUAAUAUAACAUAAACACACAUCAUGAUUGUGUAUCGCUCUCACCUCAAACACAACUAAACAGGCUUGUGUUAUUCUCUGCUUCUCUUGCUGUUAUCCAGCUGUCAUGACUUUAGGCUGACUGAUUUUCGUACCGCUCGGGUAAGAAUUCAAGCCGCUGCUGCCAUCUACUGGCGACACGCAAUAUUGCAUCACCAGUUUUUAAGCUGUGUCCAGUUCAGUGAGAACUCUUGAUUUUUCUUUUCUUUUGUGAACUGCAGUCGCCAUGUUGUCUCAGUG